RNAcentral lists this ribosomal RNA (439 nucleotides) under uncultured bacterium. RNAcentral describes it as "bacterial SSU rRNA". It matches the Rfam family "Bacterial small subunit ribosomal RNA", at positions 29 to 507 of the family's 1533-position model. The record is from RNAcentral.
AGUGAACGCUGGCGGUAUGCCUAACACAUGCAAGUCGUACGAGAGUUUUUAACUCUAGUGGCGGACGGGUGAGUAACACGUGAGAAUUUGCCUUUAGGAGGGGGACAACAAUUGGAAACGAAUGCUAAUACCCCAUAUGCUUUCGAGUGAAAUGGAUUUUAUCCGCCUAGAGAGAAGCUCGCGGCUGAUUAGCUUGUUGGUAAGGUAAGAGCUUACCAAGGCGACGAUCAGUAUCUGGUUUGAGAGGACGAUCAGACACACUGGAACUGAGACACGGUCCAGACUCCUACGGGAGGCAGCAGUGGGGAAUUUUCCGCAAUGGGCGAAAGCCUGACGGAGCAAUACCGCGUGAGGGAAGAAUGCCUAUGGGUUGUAAACCUCUUUUCAGGGAGGAAUAAAAUGACGUGUACCUGAAGAAUAAGCAUCGGCUAACUCCGUG